GUGCGCGAGUCAUUGGGACUUGAUAAACCUAAAGGCGAAAUGAAAGUAAAGGCGCGCCUCGCGCGCGCCUAGGGAGGAUGGGUCACGCCACGGCGCGGCCCCGCACUCCCGAGGCGUCUCGUGCUCAUUGCGAGCUGAGGCGCACUCAGAGCGUACACGCUGGGACCCGAAAGAUGGUGAACUAUGCCUGGUCAGGACGAAGUCAGGGGAAACCCUGAUGGAGGUCCGUAGCGAUUCUGACGUGCAAAUCGAUCGUCGGAACUGGGUAUAGGGGCGAAAGACUAAUCGAACCAUCUAGUAGCUGGUUCCCUCCGAAGUUUCCCUCAGGAUAGCUGGCACUCGCUUUUGCGAGUCUCAUCCGGUAAAGCGAAUGAUUAGAGGCAUUGGGGUCGAAACGGCCUCAACCUAUUCUCAAACUUUAAAUGGGUGAGAUCUCCGGCUUGCUUAAAGCAUGAAGCCGCGAGAUCGGAUCAGAGUGCCAAGUGGGCCACUUUUGGUAAGCAGAACUGGCGCUGUGGGAUGAACCAAACGCCGAGUUAAAGCGCCUAAAUCGACGCUUAUGGGACACCAUAAAAGGCGUUGGUAACUUAAGACAGCAGGACGGUGGCCAUGGAAGUCGGA
RNAcentral lists this ribosomal RNA (621 nucleotides) under Pseudoplandria sp. QH30. Its description in RNAcentral is "partial large subunit ribosomal RNA". It matches the Rfam family "Eukaryotic large subunit ribosomal RNA", at positions 682 to 1265 of the family's 3401-position model. The record is from RNAcentral. Lineage: Eukaryota; Metazoa; Arthropoda; Insecta; Coleoptera; Staphylinidae.